Molecule: non-coding RNA, 591 nt
Organism: Equus caballus (horse)
Lineage: Eukaryota; Metazoa; Chordata; Mammalia; Perissodactyla; Equidae
Source: RefSeq, a predicted model, not a curated record
AGUUACUCAAGGUAUGAUUUCUAGCAUGGAACUGGAUAAAGCAUCAGUGUUAGGCCAUACGGUGGAGAGUUUAAGGGUGCGUAUAUCCAUAUAUUUGACAUGUGGAGCUGUGUGGGGAAAUGGCACAGGAUAGAGAUACUUCUUGACCGCCACUUAUUCACUGUAGAGCAUUGGGUCACCGAAGUCUUACAAGUGGAAGAGAAUGGAAAAGAAAAAUGCAAAUGUGUUCAGUAUUAUUCUACAACUCAAAUCAUAAAAGAGAUGGUAUGAUGAGGCAAAAAGAAGCUCAAGAAAAUGGCAUAAAAUGGUCAUCUAUGAACUUUUAGAUUUUGCCUUCUCAGUAUUUCAGUUUCUUUAUCUAAAGUGAGUAUGGAACUGUGAAGGCAAAUAUAAUGAGUUGUAAGGAAGAUAAUCAGUCUCUCCCUUUCUCUCUCUCCCUUUCCUUGUUUUUCAAUUAAAAUGAAAAUCUUCGUGAAAUGCAAGAACUGCUUAUACUGGAUUAAAGGUAAUAUACAAUGGUACUUCCUUGUUAUGUUAGAGCAAAAUAAUGUAAUAACUACUAAUUUAUACAAUAUACUUAUAUUUAAAAAA